AGAGUUUGAUCAUGGCUCAGAACGAACGCUGGCGGCAGGCUUAACACAUGCAAGUCGAACGCCCCGCAAGGGGAGUGGCAGACGGGUGAGUAACGCGUGGGAAUCUACCGUGCCCUGCGGAAUAGCUCCGGGAAACUGGAAUUAAUACCGCAUACGCCCUACGGGGGAAAGAUUUAUCGGGGUAUGAUGAGCCCGCGUUGGAUUAGCUAGUUGGUGGGGUAAAGGCCUACCAAGGCGACGAUCCAUAGCUGGUCUGAGAGGAUGAUCAGCCACAUUGGGACUGAGACACGGCCCAAACUCCUACGGGAGGCAGCAGUGGGGAAUAUUGGACAAUGGGCGCAAGCCUGAUCCAGCCAUGCCGCGUGAGUGAUGAAGGCCUUAGGGUUGUAAAGCUCUUUCACCGGAGAAGAUAAUGACGGUAUCCGGAGAAGAAGCCCCGGCUAACUUCGUGCCAGCAGCCGCGGUAAUACGAAGGGGGCUAGCGUUGUUCGGAAUUACUGGGCGUAAAGCGCACGUAGGCGGAUAUUUAAGUCAGGGGUGAAAUCCCAUAGCUCAACUCUGGAACUGCCUUUGAUACUGGGUAUCUUGAGUAUGGAAGAGGUAAGUGGAAUUCCGAGUGUAGAGGUGAAAUUCGUAGAUAUUCGGAGGAACACCAGUGGCGAAGGCGGCUUACUGGUCCAUUACUGAUUCUGAGGUGCGAAAGCGUGUGGAGCAAACAGGAUUAGAUACC
RNAcentral lists this ribosomal RNA (730 nucleotides) under uncultured bacterium. RNAcentral's name for it is "bacterial SSU rRNA". It matches the Rfam family "Bacterial small subunit ribosomal RNA", at positions 8 to 786 of the family's 1533-position model. The record is from RNAcentral.